RNAcentral lists this ribosomal RNA (468 nucleotides) under uncultured bacterium. RNAcentral describes it as "partial 16S ribosomal RNA". It matches the Rfam family "Bacterial small subunit ribosomal RNA", at positions 28 to 507 of the family's 1533-position model. The record is from RNAcentral.
GACGAACGCUGGCGGCGUGCUUAACACAUGCAAGUCGAACGGUGAAGCGCCAGCUUGCUGGCGUGGAUCAUUGGCGAACGGGUGAGUAACACGUGAGCAACCCGCCCCAGUCUGUGUAAGAAGCGCUGGAAACGGCGUCUAUAACUGCAUACGAUAUCAAGCCGCACGGUUAUGGUCUGGAAAGUUCUUCGGUUUGGGCUGGGCUGGAGGGCUACCAGCUUCUUUGUGAGGUUAUGGCUGACAAGGGUGACGAGGGAUAGCCGGCGUGAGAGGGCGACCGGCCACCAUGGGCCUGAGAGACGGCGCAGAAUCCUACGGGAGGCAGCAGGGGGGAAUAUUGCACAAUGGGCGAAAGCCUGAUGCAGCGGCGCCGCGUGAGGGAUGACGGCCUUCGGGUGGUAAACCUCUUUCAGCAGGGAAGAAGCGAAAGUGACGGUACCUGCAGAAGAAGCACCGGCUAACUACGUG